This 433-nucleotide ribosomal RNA is filed under the name uncultured bacterium. Its description in RNAcentral is "partial 16S ribosomal RNA". It matches the Rfam family "Bacterial small subunit ribosomal RNA", at positions 29 to 507 of the family's 1533-position model. The record is from RNAcentral.
AACGAACGCUGGCGGCAUGCCUAACACAUGCAAGUCGAACGAGACCUUCGGGUCUAGUGGCGUACGGGUGCGUAACGCGUGGGAAGCUGCACUUAGGUUCGGAAUAACUCCCCGAAAGGGAUGCUAAUACCGGAUAAUGUCUUCGGACCAAAGAUUUAUUGCCUUGGGUUGGGCCCGCGUUGGAUUAGCUAGUUGGUAGGGUAAAAGCCGACCAAGGCGACGAUUCGUAGCUUGUCAGAGAGGAUGAUUAGCGACACUGGGACUGAGACACGGCCCAGACUCCUACGGGAGGCAGCAGUGGGGAAUAUUGCACAAUGGGCGAAAGUCUGAUCCAGCACUGCCGCGUGAGUGCUGAAGGCCUUAGGGUUGUAAAGCUCUUUUACCCGGGAUGAUAAUGACAGUACCGGGAGAAUAAGCUCCGGCUAACUCCGUG